Molecule: transfer RNA, 72 nt
Organism: Ovis aries (sheep)
Lineage: Eukaryota; Metazoa; Chordata; Mammalia; Artiodactyla; Bovidae
Rfam family: tRNA
About the family: Transfer RNA (tRNA) molecules are approximately 80 nucleotides in length.
Source: Rfam
UCCCUGGUGGCUCAGAGGUUAAAGUGCCUGCCUGUAAUGCGGGAGACCUGGGUUCGAUCCCUGGCUCGGGAA